This 398-nucleotide ribosomal RNA is filed under the name uncultured bacterium. RNAcentral's name for it is "bacterial SSU rRNA". It matches the Rfam family "Bacterial small subunit ribosomal RNA", at positions 378 to 768 of the family's 1533-position model. The record is from RNAcentral.
CAACCCUGAUCCAGCCAUGCCNCGUGAGUGAAGAAGGCCCUAGGGUUGUAAAGCUCUUUUGUCCGGAAAGAAAAGCUUCGGGUUAAUACCCCGGGGUUCUGACGGUACCGGAAGAAUAAGCACCGGCUAACUUCGUGCCAGCAGCCGCGGUAAUACGAAGGGUGCAAGCGUUACUCGGAAUUACUGGGCGUAAAGCGUGCGUAGGUGGUUGUUUAAGUCUGGUGUGAAAGCCCUGGGCUCAACCUGGGAAUGGCAUUGGAAACUGGGCAGCUAGAGUGCGGUAGAGGGUAGUGGAAUUCCCGGGGUAGCAGUGAAAUGCGUAGAGAUCGGGAGGAACAUCUGUGGCGAAGGCGACUGCCUGGACCAGCACUGACACUGAGGCACGAAAGCGUGGGGAG